UACGGAGGGUGCAAGCAUUGAUCGGAAUUACUGGGCGUAAAGGGCGCGUAGGCGGCCCUGAAAGUCAGAUGUGAAAUUCUGGGGCUCAACCCCAGAGCUGCAUUUGAAACUUCAGGGCUUAGAGGAUGGAAAGGGAAAACGGAAUUCCACGUGUAGCGGUGAAAUGCGUAGAUAUGUGGAGGAACACCAGUGGUGAAGGCGGUUUUCUGUGCCGAACCAGACGCUGAAGCGCGAAAGCUAGGGGAGCAAACAGG
RNAcentral lists this ribosomal RNA (254 nucleotides) under uncultured bacterium. RNAcentral's name for it is "partial 16S ribosomal RNA". It matches the Rfam family "Bacterial small subunit ribosomal RNA", at positions 524 to 776 of the family's 1533-position model. The record is from RNAcentral.